This 1382-nucleotide long non-coding RNA is filed under the name Homo sapiens (human). Its description in RNAcentral is "HSALNT0363433". The record is from RNAcentral. Lineage: Eukaryota; Metazoa; Chordata; Mammalia; Primates; Hominidae.
CUGCGGAGGCAAAUGGAAGAAAGAGCCCAACAGGUGGAAUCAUAUUAGAGAGUCUUGAACGCCAAGAUGAAGCAAGCUUUUCAUUCGAGGGUAUAUGAAGACUCAGGCCCCACCCAUGGAGGGUAGAACACACAUUUGCUGAAGACUUUAUGUGCUGGGCUGACUCAACUGGGCUGGAUUCCAGGCCCAUCACUGACUAUGCUUCUGUCAUUUCAACGGAGAGAAGAGGAAAUGAGGAUAAGUUCCAGAGGGAUGCAAGGGUGAAGUGCACUCACAAAGCCAGCUGCCACAUAGUGAGAUGGUCUUUGGAGAGGCCCAAGUAGCAGCAAUCAACCAUCAACAAACAGAAGCCCUCAGUCCCACAAUCCGAAAAGAAUUGAAUUAUGCAAACAACCACAAGAAUGAGCUUGGAAGCAGAUUCACCCCAGAAGGACCUGGAGAAGAGUUGACUGUAGCCUCCGAGAGAUCCGAGCCAGAGACCUGCUAAGCCACGCCCCCAUUCCUGACCCACAGAAACCAGGAUAAUAAAUGUGUGUUGUUUUAAGUCUCUAAGUUUUGGGGUAAUUUGUUAGAUAGCAAUAGACAACUAACAGUCUCCAAUAUUUAAUGCCAGUUAUUUACUGUGUUGGGUCGUGGGGACAUUAAGGUGUUCUUUUAGCCUUCAAGGGGUACCUAGUCUGGUGAGGUAAGGCAGACAUGUGUGAUUGUGUUACUGUGUGUAUUGGGUCAUUGGGUGGGCUGGAGAGGGGACUGCCUAUCUUACACAGCCUGGAGGUGUCAGGGCAGGCUUUUUGGGGAGGUGUCACUCACAAAGCAGAAUUUUGAAAGGUGAGUAAGAGCUUGCCAGUUGCUAUAGUUUGAAUGUCUGUUCCAAAACUCAUGUCGAACUAUAAUUGCCAUUAUGACAGUAUCAAGAGGUGAUUAGGUGACUGGAUUACUGCAAUUAUCAGGAAGUGGGUUCUUGAUAAAAGUGAGUUCAACCCCCUCUUGUCCUUGCUCACGUUUACUUUCUCUUACCCUUCCACCUUCUGCCAUGGGAUGACAUAGCACGAAGGCCCACAUCGGAGGCUGAUGCCAUUCUUUUGGACUUCCCAGCCUCCAGAACCAUGAAUCAAAUGAACAGUUGUUUAGAAAUUAACCUGUCUCUGUUACAGCAACACUAAUCAGCCUAAGAUACCAGGUGAAGAAGGCAGAGAAGCAGUGAGGAGGGAAGGAGGAGAACACAGAUUUUCUCCCUCUCCUCAGUGGAUUUGGGAAGUUGUUUUAAGACUGCAUCCUUGGCAAGAGGGUACUCCGCAGCUAUGUGCUUGACGCAAGAGUGAGUGAUUCAUCCCACCACAUCUCAAAAGUCUGUGAGUCAGCCAGUUCUUCCUGGGCUCAGA